Molecule: ribosomal RNA, 916 nt
Filed under: uncultured Bacillota bacterium
Lineage: Bacteria; Bacillati; Bacillota
Description: bacterial SSU rRNA
Rfam family: Bacterial small subunit ribosomal RNA
Source: RNAcentral
GAACGCUGGCGGCGUGCUUAACACAUGCAAGUCGAACGAAGAGCGAUGGAAGCUUGCUUCUAUCAAUCUUAGUGGCGAACGGGUGAGUAACGCGUAAUCAACCUGCCCUUCAGAGGGGGACAACAGUUGGAAACGACUGCUAAUACCGCAUACGAUCCAAUCUCGGCAUCGAGACUGGAUGAAAGGUGGCCUCUAUUUAUAAGCUAUCGCUGAAGGAGGGGAUUGCGUCUGAUUAGCUAGUUGGAGGGGUAACGGCCCACCAAGGCGAUGAUCAGUAGCCGGUCUGAGAGGAUGAACGGCCACAUUGGGACUGAGACACGGCCCAGACUCCUACGGGAGGCAGCAGUGGGGAAUCUUCCGCAAUGGACGAAAGUCUGACGGAGCAACGCCGCGUGAGUGAUGACGGCCUUCGGGUUGUAAAGCUCUGUUAAUCGGGACGAAUGGUUCUUGUGCAAAUAGUGCGAGGAUUUGACGGUACCGGAAUAGAAAGCCACGGCUAACUACGUGCCAGCAGCCGCGGUAAUACGUAGGUGGCAAGCGUUGUCCGGAAUUAUUGGGCGUAAAGCGCGCGCAGGCGGAUUGGUCAGUCUGUCUUAAAAGUUCGGGGCUUAACCCCGUGAUGGGAUGGAAACUGCCAAUCUAGAGUAUCGGAGAGGAAAGUGGAAUUCCUAGUGUAGCGGUGAAAUGCGUAGAUAUUAGGAAGAACACCAGUGGCGAAGGCGACUUUCUGGACGAAAACUGACGCUGAGGCGCGAAAGCCAGGGGAGCGAACGGGAUUAGAUACCCCGGUAGUCCUGGCCGUAAGCGAUGGGUACUAGGUGUAGGAGGUAUCGACCCCUUCUGUGCCGGAGUUAACGCAAUAAGUACCCCGCCUGGGGAGUACGACCGCAAGGUUGCAACUCAAAUGAAUUGACGA